Molecule: ribosomal RNA, 484 nt
Filed under: uncultured bacterium
Lineage: Bacteria
Description: partial 16S ribosomal RNA
Rfam family: Bacterial small subunit ribosomal RNA
Source: RNAcentral
AUUGAACGCUGGCGGCAGGCCUAACACAUGCAAGUCGAGCGGAUGAAGGGAGCUUGCUCCUAGAUUCAGCGGCGGACGGGUGAGUAAUGCCUAGGAAUCUGCCUGGUAGUGGGGGAUAACGUCCGGAAACGGGCGCUAAUACCGCAUACGUCCUGAGGGAGAAAGUGGGGGAUCUUCGGACCUCACGCUAUCAGAUGAGCCUAGGUCGGAUUAGCUAGUUGGUGGGGUAAAGGCCUACCAAGGCGACGAUCCGUAACUGGUCUGAGAGGAUGAUCAGUCACACUGGAACUGAGACACGGUCCAGACUCCUACGGGAGGCAGCAGUGGGGAAUAUUGGACAAUGGGCGAAAGCCUGAUCCAGCCAUGCCGCGUGUGUGAAGAAGGUCUUCGGAUUGUAAAGCACUUUAAGUUGGGAGGAAGGGCAGUAAGUUAAUACCUUGCUGUUUUGACGUUACCAACAGAAUAAGCACCGGCUAGCUUCGUG